CAGAAGUUAAGGCCUGGCUUCUGCUCCCGUCGCGUCCCGGCGCGUCCGGGUUCAAAUCCGCCUGCCGACCUCUCGGGGUGUUUGAGAGGUGAUGAAAUGGGAGGUGGCCCCCCAUCUUGUGGACGAUGUAGGACGUGAUAAAAUCAACUCGCGAGCUGACCAGGAAUUAAGUUGACGCGCCGUUGAUCCGCUAGAUUUGGUUGGAUGCUGGUGGUGAGUUGCCAAACUCAAAGAGUACACUCUGAAGUCGGAUGGGGUGAAUGGCUUAGGGUGCCCCUCUAGCAGGGGAGAGCAGGGAAUUGCCUCGGGAAGGAGGCCACUGGUGAAGCUUAACCACCCUGUAACAACAUCAACUCCCCAUAAUCAAUCCCCUCGCGUUGCUCGAAACCCUUGGCAACUAAACGCGCCUUAAAACGCUCCACGCUGCCGUCAUCGCUGUACUUAACCUUAUAUACCCAACGACACGGCAACAAACGAGUACCAGGAGGUGGCUUCUUCAACUCCCAAGUACUAUUAGCCAUCUGGGCGGCGAUCUCCUCGUCCAUCGCACGCCGCCAGUCGUCUGCAUGUGCACUCGCAAUGGCUUCCGCAAAAGAAUUCGGUUCGGGAAUAUCAGUAGAGAAAGCAGCGUUAACGCGACCAGUAACAGUGCGACCAGGUUCAUUUCGCCACCAUUCGCCAGGGCGUUUACGCUCUCUAACUGGGUACCUAGUUCCCGCCAUUUCCACAUCAGGCUGAUUGAUUCCUUGCCCGUUCGCACUGCUGGAAGGUCCAGCCCCAGCCGGCGCCCCCUCGCCACCCAAAUGCGGCGAUCCCUCGCCGACGGUGCUACCUGGUGUCCCUUCGCCAGCCCUAGGCAGCGAUCCCUCACCAGAUAAACUAGUGCGAAACUCCCCUCUUCGUGGGCAUCGACUUAUAUCGGAGUCCCCGGCAUUACGCCGCCGCCGGACAUUAAGAUUCAUCGAAACGAACGUUAGAAACUAUGGCAAUAAUGCCGUCCACGUAUAGCACACGAUAUUGUCUUCCGUUCCCGUAUCCAACAAGUAUUCCAGGCCUGCUCACCGGGUCGAACUUGUCGCGCUUGACGUCGGGUACGUGGACGUAGGCAACGCAUCCUAAGACUCGCAUGUGACUGACGUUCGGACGAACAUUAAAGAAAGCUUCGUACGGAGUGACGGUUGACCCAGCAGUUGGCGACACAUUCCUAAGAUAGUUGGCUGUCGCUAACGCCUCUGCCCAUAAUGAUUUAGGCAGUCCAGAUUCAACGAGCAUAGCCCUAGUCUUGUCCAAAAGAGUGCGAUUUAAACGUUCCGCAGCUCCGUUCUGCUCAGGGGUGUAGCCUACCGUGUACAAUACCCCUGGAAGCGAAAUAGCCCUUCGUGCGAGUAUUAACGAACUCCCCGCCACGAUCUGUACGCACCUCCUUAACCUGCCUGCCAGUAGCGCGCUCCAGUUCCGCUAUCAUUACCACCAUCUUCUGGUAGACCUCCUCCUUGGUCGCUGUAAACGCAACAGCUGAAAGACCAGUAUGAUCGUCAAGCAGAGUUGUCACGUAACGCGAACCACUAGGCGAAGGUUCAGGCAUAGGUCCACACACAUCCAUGUGAAUGAGUGCGAGAGGCUGCGCUGCCUUAUGCCCAGUUAGCGGAAAAGGACCACGUGUAUGCUUAGCAAAGACGCAAGUCUCACACACACACGCGCUGGCUGAUUGUAUGCUGUGUCGGUCAACAUCGAAUCCAGCUACCAUAUCAUGACGCAGCAGCGCCUCAAGGUUGCUGUAUCCUAAGUGGCCAUACCUUCGGUGCCAAAGUGCUGCACGUUCAGCUCCGAUACCAACGGCAGCACACACUGCAUCACCACCAGAAGGUAUCCUGUUGUCUUAACGCUGCGUCCACUUCAGAGCGCCAGUACCUCCACUGCUGUAGUAGACGGGAUACAAGUCCCCAUCCCGCUUUCCAGUCAGCACCAACUGAUUCUGGAUGCCACGAACGCUACCUGCCGCGGAACUCCUGGUCCCCUAGCUGAUCUACCGGAUCCUGGCUUGCUGCCGCUAGCUCCGCUGCCACUAGCUCCGCUGCCACUAGCUCCGCUGCCACUGUUGUUGUAGCCACCCUUAUAUCCAGAAUUUGACGACUGCUUCAGCGCUUUAAGCUGCCUGCAGUCCCUUACCACGUGCCCAGGCUUAUUACAGUAGUAGCAGAUGAGUUGCUUCCGACUGUGUCCCGAGCUGUUGUUAGCCGGCCCCCGGCUACCAUAACCAGAAGUAGAAGCGCCGAACGUAGAUCCGCCGACAGACGCGAAGGCUGCCGACUCGGUAGGCUUGCCCGACCCACCGUUAGCCGUCUCGAUAGAGAGAAGCUUUGCUGUGACGCUCGCCAUGUCCAAAUCGCCGUCACGCAUUAGUAAUGUAGUCGUCACCACGCUGUACCGACUGGGUAGACCAACCAGGACGGUGUACGUGUCGUUAAUUACGUGGCCGACUCCCAAUAAAUCUGUUUGCAGCUGCCUUGCACGCGCAAAGUACAUCGGAAGAGGUUCGCCGUCGACCAUCUUAAAACGGCUGAAUUCUUGACGUAGAGAAACCUUGCGGGCGUUGUUGUUGGCAGCAAACCUGGAACUAAGUUGAUGCGCCGUUGAUCCGCUAGAUUUGGUUGGAUGCUGGUGGUGAGUUGCCGAACCCAACGAAUACAUUCUGAAGUCGGAUGGGGUGACGGAUUAGGGUGCCCCUCUAGCAGGGGAGAGCAGGGACUGCCCCGGGAAAGGGGGCCGCUGGCGAAGUUAACCACCCUGUAACAACAUAGAGCCCAAGGCGUCCCAGGCCUUCUUCGCGUUGGCAGCACCGGUAACCAUUGGCAAGUGGUGAUCCUUGACGUUCUUGAUAAGCAGAUUGAUGACCUUUCGUGAUUGUCGAAUCUGCUCCUCGUUGCACGGCUCGGCGAGCAAGGAUUGCUCAAGCCCAAGCUCCAUGCACAUCGCGCUAAACCGGAUUUGCCAGGUGGAGUAGUUGUGGAGGUCCAGCGGCUCAUCAAGCUUGUCCUUGACCAUUGUUGAUUAGGGAUAGAAAUAACAAUCAGACGAUAGCUGUCGGCGCUAGGCGGGGCUCAUAACCUAUUGGAGACCAGCAGGGACGUCGUUACCAUGUUGAAGCGGCUGGGUAGACCAACCAGCACUGCGUACGCCAGCUCCGAGUCGCUGAUAACGUGCCCCACUCCCAACAAGUGUGACUGUAAUUGCCGUGCACGUGCAAAGUACUUGGGUAGCGGCUCGCCGUCGACCAUCUUGAAACGGCUGUACUCUUGACGGAGAGCUACCUUGCGUGCGUUAUUGUUGGCGACAAACAUCGCGGCCAAAGCUUCCCAUGCUUCCCAUUCGCGUUCACAGCACCCGUAACCAUCGGCAAAUCUUUAACAUUCUUGAUGAGCAGGUUGAUAACCUCACGAGAUUGUCGAAUCUGUUCCUCGUUUCCCGGCUCGGCGAGCAAGGACUGCUCAAGCCCAAGCUCCAUACACAGCGUGCUGAACCGAAUUUGCCAGGUGGCGUAGUUGUUCAAGUCUAGAGGCUCGUCAAGCUUGUCCUUCCCCAUUGUGGAAUACGAGUAUGAAGGUAGAUGCUGCUAGCGUUAGCCGGGGCUCAUAACCUGUUAAAAAUAUGAAGGAGGCAAGGAGAAUGGUCGCGAUAUAAGUAUUACAGUCGGUAGGUGAGUGGUGAACGGCAGAAAGACUUUAGGAGAUUCCUACUAAGGAAUACCGAUCCAUACAAAGAUGAGAUACCAAGACUUGCAUAACUUGUGUCUUAUAUACCAGUACCAAUGGAAGUAUCGUUCAGUCGCCCACCAUCUAUCUAUCGUACAGUCGCCACCAUCUAUCGGAUUCAUCGCCUAUCUACCACCUAUCUACGUUGGGAUAGGACCAGGAUUCCAAAGGCUGAUUUCAUUCAUGGCAUACGGUGAGCAUCCGAUGGUUUCUGGACUCAGCAUUAAUGCAUCACAUCACCCCUGACCCCUCUGAGUUAUUUAACGUGUCUUUGUGUUGCAAAUGACCGACACUCAUAUACCAGUGAAUGGUAGCCGNNNNNNNNNNNNNNNNNNNNNNNNNNNNNNNNNNNNNNNNNNNNNNNNNNNCCAUUCACUGGUAUAUGAGUGUCGGUCAUUUGCAACACAAAGAGGCACACAACACACUGGGGGUUGGAGCAGUGGGAGCACUUCAAUAUCAUGGGCAUCAAGGGUCAAGCUUUGCAUCCAAUUGCAACGGUGGUCGGCUCACUCAUUAUUCCAGCCAACAUCAACGACAAACAGGCCAUUUCUUUCAAUAAGGUCUACUUUGGUGAGGAGGCAACAGUCAAGGUCUUGUCAGUUCCACGCACCAUCAAUGUAUUGGAGAAUUGGCGACGGUGACGGCUGACGCUUGUUGUUAUUCCGGAAGGAUUGCCGGCGGCGAAGAUAUUGAACACGAUAAACUGUUACAAGUAAUAUAAGGAGUAAUAGUAUGCGUUUGGCAGGACUUUAGGAGAUUCCGUUUGAGGAAUACCGAUCGUUGUGAGAUAAAGAAAUAAGCGCAGUCACCGCCCUAAAUACCGGUGCUAGCGGAAAACUCGUACAUUCCGCGAUCUCACUGCACGUACAUUCCGCAAUCUCACUGCGCCGUCCUGACGGUGCCCAAAUGUCUAUCACUUAGCUACCGAAUAUGCAUCGGUAGCCCCAUAAAGUUCUGGGGUAAGUCUUCCCCAAUAGUCAGGCACAGACCCGGGGCCAAAUCCCCUGGUCGACAACCACACGAGUUGGGAGAGGACCGUUUCCUCAACACGCCCCCUCGGGCCGUAUCCCAACGAGUACCAAGUUCAUCAGCACGCUUCACACAAGGCCCAUCGCACCUCGGCAACGUUUGAAUUUCACCUCGCCCAGAGCUUUCGUGAGCACAUCCGCAACCAUCCACUCCGUAGGGCAGUAUUCCAACUGCACCUCACCGCUAUUCACCCUCUCACGCACUAUGUGAAGCUGUACGUCGAUGUGCUUCGACCGAGCAGACGUAAUCGGGUUAUUUCCUAAGCUAAGCGCCCCCUGGGAAUCUAUUUGAAUCUUGAUAGCGCUCUCAGGCAAACCCAAAACGACCAUCAGCCUGUGAAGCCACAAAGCUUCACGAACAGCUGCCGCUGUAGCUUGAUACUCGGCCUCCACCGACGAAGCCGCCACAGUACGUUGAAGUUGACUGCACCAGCUAAUCGCAGCCCCAUUUAGAGUAAAAACGUAUCAGGAAGUAGAAUGCCGUGUAAACGGGUCUCCUGCCCAGUCAGAAUCGCUAUACCCAGACAUCUCAAUGUCGCCAACACCCCCAAAACGCAAUCCUAGUUCGCGAGUACCCGCCAGGUAACGCAGAAUGCCGGUUGCCAAGUUCAUGGCAGUCUUUGUAAGUGUGGCCAUAUGCCGGGACAAAAGACUCCAUGCAUAAGGAAUGUCAGGGCGAGUGUUAGUCGCUAGGUAGUCCAACUUUCCCACCAAAGCCCUAUGCACCAUGGGAUCCAGCAGCUCAUCUCUAUCCCCCGUGCACCUAAAACCCGGAGCCAAAGGGGUAGACCGUGGCUUGGCGUCCACCGUCUGGUGACGCUCCAAUAGCUGCUCAAUAUUGCGACAACACUAAUUCACCCGGCUUCAUCAUCAGUAUUUCCAUGCCCGAAAACACCUGCGCUUCUCCAAGUUCUCGUACUUCUCUUACAUCUUUGCACCUAGCCAUGCAAAAAAGCGCUUGACCUUCCACUCUUUUCAACUUGUACAACCACCGGUACAUUAGGACAUCAUGAGGCUGUGCACACAGCUCACAAGUGCCGUUAGCUGCCAAUGCAGCAAUCUCCUCGACCAUCACUCUGCGCCACUCAUUUGCAUUUGCACCUGAAAUGGCUUCAGUGAAAGUAUUACUCAGCAAAAAUUCAGCAGGGUACGGAUAAGUGACAGCCACGUUAAUGCGACCUACUAUCCUCCUUCCUGCAACACCAUGCCACCACUCCGAGGGCUAUAAUAUCUCCUCAUAUUCCCUGCCCUAUUCUUCUGAACUCCUGCGCUGGCUUGCACCACUAGAUGUUCCGGCUUCAUCCGGCAUUCCUUCACCAUCCACAGGUGACAGUGGUGCCUAGCCGACUGUGAGGCCCUGACUCAGGUACACCAAUACUAGCCGCUACAAAACUUUCACGGCACUCACGCCCGCCAGUCGUCUGCAUGUGGGCCUGAGAUGCCUUCGGCAUAAAUGUUAGGCUCUGAAUCCCAGCAGAUACUGCAGCAAUGACUCGGCCUGUAGCACUACGACCAGGUACACUCCGUCACCACUCGCCAGGCCGUUUGCAUUCCCUAACUGAAUACCGAGCCCCCAGCAUUUCCACAUCAGUGUGUGUGUUUCCUUCGACAUUCACACGUCUGGGAGGUCCAGCCCCAGCCAGCGCCCCUUCGUCACCCAAAUGCGGCGAUCCCUUGCUGACGGUAUUGCCUGAUGUUGCGAAUGAACAUUCGCUGUUGAGGAAACGGUCCUCUCCCAACUCGUGUGGUUGUCGACCAGGGGAUUUGACCCCGGGUCUGCACCUGACUAAUGUGGAAGACUUACCCCAGAACUUUAUGGGGCUACCGAUGCAUAUCCGGUAGCUAAGUGAUAGACAUUAGGGCACCGUCUGGACGGCGCAGUGAGAUCGCGGAAUGUACGUGCAGUUAGAUCGCGGAAUGUACGAGUUUUCCCCUAGCGCCGGUAUUUAGGGCGGUGACUGCGCCUAUUAGUUUAUCUCACAACGAUCGGUAUUCCUACCAGGAAUCUCCUCAAGUCCUGCCGAACGCUAACAAUACUCUUUACAUUACUUGUAACAGUUUAUCGUGUUUCAUAUCUUCGCCGCCGGCAAUUCUUCCGAGAUAACAAUCAGCGUUAGCCGUCACCGUCGCCAAUUCUUCAAUAGGUUAUGAGCCCCGCCUAGCGCCGACAGCUAUCGCCCAAUUGUUAUUUCUAUCCCUCAUCGACAAUGGUUAAGGACAAGCUUGAUGAGUCGCUGGACCUCAACAACUACUCUACCUGGCAAAUUCGGUUUAGCGCGAUGUGCAUGGAGCUUGGGCUUGAGCAAUCCCUGCUCGCCGAGCCGUGCAACGAGGAGCAAAUUCGACAGUCACGGAAGGUCAUCAAUCUGCUCAUCAAGAACGUCAAGGAUCAUCAUUUGCCGAUGGUUACCGGUGCUGCCUGUUAAGACCAGCAAAGCGCCGGACCCCCGUUGGGUCCUAUUACUGUGGCUACCAUUCACUGGUAUAUGAAUGUCGGUCAUUUCCAACACCCCCCCGUGAGCGACACUCUCUCGCUACGGGCCUUCCCGUGCCUCAUCCCGGUCUCCCAUUCUCUGGGCAACAGCCAGUGGGUAUCGAUCCGGCGACCUCUCGGCAGCGCAAUGCGCCAUUCGGGGCUCAUAACCUGUUAAGACCAGCAAAGCGCCGGACCCCCGUUGGGUCCUAUUACUGUGGCUACCAUUCACUGGUAUAUGAAUGUCGGUCAUUUCCAACACUGCCAACGCGAAGAAGGCCUGGGACGCCUUGGGAUCUAUGGGAUCUAUGUCUGCUCCCGUCGCGUCCCGGCGCGUCCGGGUUCAAAUCCGCCUGCCGACCUCUCGGGGUGUUUGAGAGGUGAUGAAAUGGGAGGUGGCCCCCCAUCUUAUGGACGGUGUAGGACGUGAUAAAAUCAACUCGCGAGCUGACCAGGAACUAAGUUGACGCGCCGUUGAUCCGCUAGAUUUGGUUGGAUGCUGGUGGUGAGUUGCCAAACUCAAAGAGUACACUCUGAAGUCGGAUGGGGUGAAUGGCUUAGGGUGCCCCUCUAGCAGGGGAGAGCAGGGAACUGCCUCGGGAAGGAGGCCACUGGUGAAGCUUAACCACCCUGUAACAACAUCAACAUCAACAACGCCCGGCGGGCGGCUGGCAGAGGUUAAGGCCUGGCUUCUGCUCCCGGCGCGUUACGGCACGUCCGGGUUCAAAUCCGCCUGCCGACCUCUCGGGGUGUUUGAGAGGUGUUGAAAUGGGAGGUGGCCCCCCAUCUUAUGGACGGUGUAGGACGUGAUAAAAUCAACUCGCGAGCUGACCAGGAACUAAGAUGACGCGCCGUUGAUCCGCUAGAUUUGGUUGGAUGCUGGUGGUGAGUUGCCAAACUCAAAGAGUACACUCUGAAGUCGGAUGGGGUGAAUGGCUUAGGGUGCCCCUCUAGCAGGGGAGAGCAGGGAACUGCCUCGGGAAGGAGGCCACUGGUGAAGCUUAACCACCCUGUAACAACAUCAACAACGCCCGCAAGGUGUCUCUACGUCAAGAAUUCAGCCGUUUUAAGAUGGUCGACGGCGAACCUCUCCCGAUGUACUUUGCGCGUGCAAGACAGCUGCAAACAGAUUUAUUGGGAGUCGGCCACGUAGUUAACGACUCCGAGCUGGCGUACACCGUGCUAGUUGGUCUACCCAGUCGGUACAGCGUGGUGACGACUACAUUACUUAUGCGCGACGGCGAUUUGGACAUGGCGAGCGUCACAGCAAAGCUUCUCUCUAUCGAGACGGCUAACGGUGGGUCGGGCAAGCCUACCGAGUCGGCAGCCUUCGCGUCUGUCGGUGGUUCGACGUUCGGCGCUUCUACUUCUGGUUAUGGUAGCCGGGGGCCGGCUAACAACAGCUCGGGACAUAGUCGGAAGCAAGUCACCUGCUACUACUGUAAUAAACCUGGGCACGUGGUUAAGGACUGCAGGCAGCUUAAGGCGCUGAAGCAGUCGUCAAAUUCUGGCUAUAAGGGUGGGUACAACAACAGUGGCAACGGAGGUAGUGGCAGCGGAGCUAGCGGCAGCAAGCCAGGAUCCGGUGGAUCAGCUAGGGGGCCAGGAGUUCCGCGGCAGGUAGCGUUCGUAGCAUAUAACAGUGAGCGUCCGACGGAAUGGUUUCUGGACUCAGCCGCCACUCACCACAUAACGUAUGACCGCUCAGAACUUUUCAACGUGCGGUUGUUGGAGCCAUGGGAGCGCUUCAACAUCAUGGGCAUCAAGGGACAAUCUCUUCGACCGACUGAAGUUGGCACGCUUACGAUUCGGUCUAACGUCAACGAUAAACAGGCCAUCCCUUUCAAGAAGGUCUACGUCGACGAGGAGGCCACCGCCAAAAUCAUAUCGGUCCGCAUCAUUGAUGAUCGUGGAGGCAGUGUGGUCUUCGGCGGCGGACAGGCGAAAGUAUACGUACAGAACCAGUUGGUGCUGACUGGAAAGCGGGAUGGGGACUUGUAUCCCGUCUGCUACAGCAGUGGAGGUACGGGAGCUCUGAAGAGGACGCAGCGUGAAGACAACAGGAUACCUUCUGGUGGUGAUGCAGUGUGUGCUGCCGUGGGUAUCGGAGCUGAACGUGCAGCACUUUGGCACCGAAGGUAUGGCCACUUGGGAUACAGCAACCUUGAGACGUUGCUGCGUCAUAAUAUGGUAGCUGGAUUUGAUGUUGACCGACACAGCAUACAAUCAGCCAGCACGUGUGUGUGUGAGACUUGCGUCCUUGCUACAUACACGUGGUCCUUUUCCGUUAUCUGGGCAUAAGGCAGUGCAGCCUCUCGCGCUCAUUCACAUGGAUGUGUGUGGGCCUAUGCCUGAACCUUCGCCUAGUGGUUCGCAUUACGUGACAACCCUGCUUGACGACCAUACUGGUCUUUCAGCUGUUGAUGUUGUUACAGGGUGGUUAAGCUUCACCAGUGGCCUCCUUCCCGAGGCAAUUCCCUGCUCUCCCCUGCUAGAGGGGCACCCUAAGCCAUUCACCCCAUCCGAUUUCAGAGUGUACUCUUUGAGUUUGGCAACUCACCACCAGCAUCCAACCAAAUCUAGCGGAUCAACGGCGCGUCAACUUAGUUCCUGGUCAGCUCGCGAGUUCAUUUUAUCACGUCCUACACCGUCCACAAGAUGGGGGGCCACCUCCCAUUUCAUCACCUCUCAAACACCCCGAGAGGUCGGCAGGCGGAUUUGAACCCGGACGCGCCGGAACGCGACGGGAGCAGAAGCCAGGCCUUAACGUCUGCCAGCCGCCUGCCUGUUGCGUUUACAGCGACCAAGGAGGAGGUCUACCAGAAGGUGGUGGUAAUGAUAGCGGAACUGGAGCGCGCCACUGGCAGGCAGGUUAAGGAGGUGCGUACAGAUCGUGGCGGGGAGUUCGUUAAUACUCGCACGAAGGCCUAUUUCGCUUCCAGGGGUAUUCUACACGGAACUACGGUAGGCUACACCCCUGAGCAGAACGGAGCUGCAGAACGUUUAAAUCGCACUCUUUUGGACAAGACUAGGGCUAUGCUAGUUGAGUCUGGACUGCCUAAAUCAUUAUGGGCGGAGGCGUUAGCGACAGCCAACUAUCUUAGGAAUGUGUUGCCAACUGCUGGGUCAACCGUCACUCCGUACGAAGCUUUCUUUAACGUUCGUCCGAACGUCAGUCACCUGCGAGUCUUUGGAUGCGUUGCCUACGUCCACGUACCCGACGUCAAGCGUGACAAGUUCGACCCGGUGAGCAGGCGUGGAAUACUUGUUGGAUACGGGAACGGAGGACAAUAUCGUGUGCUAUACGUGGACGGCAUUAUUGCCAUAGUUUCUAACGUUCGUUUCGAUGAAUCUAAUGUCGGCCAGCGGCGUAAUGCCGGGGACUCCGAUUAUGAGUCCGAUGCCGACGAGGAGGAGGAUUUUCGCACUAGUUUGCCUGGUGAGGGAUCGCUGCCUAGGGCUGGCGAAGGGAUACCAGGUAGCACCGUCGGCGAGGGAUCGCCGCACUUGGGUGGCGAGGGGGCGCCGGCUGGGGCUGGACCUUCCAGCAGUGCGAAUGGGCAAGGAAUCAAUCAGCCUGAUGUGGAAAUGGCGGGAACUAGGUACCCAGUUAGAGAGCGUAAACGCCCUGGUGAAUGGUGGCGAAAUGAACCUGGUCGCACUGUUACUGGUCGCGUUAACGCUGCUUUCUCUACUGAUAUUCCCGAACCGAAUUCUUUUGCGGAAGCCAUUGCGAGUCCACAUGCAGACGACUGGCGGCGUGCGAUGGACGAGGAGAUCGCCACCCAGAUGGCUAAUAGUACUUGGGAGCUGAAGAAGCCACCGCCUGGUACUCGUUUGUUGCCGUGUCGUUGGGUAUAUAAGGUUAAGUACAGCGAUGACGGCAGCAUGGAGCGCUUUAAGGCGCGUUUAGUUGCCAAGGGUUUUGAGCAACGCGAGGGGAUUGAUUAUGGGGAGUUGUUUGCCCCUACCUCUCGUGGUUCGUCAUUACGAGCUUUAUUAGCAGUUGCCGCAGCGCGGGACAUGACGGUGCAUCAGCUAGAUGUGUCUACUGCGUUUCUGAAUGGUGAGCUGAAGGAGGAGUUGUGGAUGGAGCAACCGCCUGGGUAUGCAUCCAGUGACCGGUCGCUUGCGUGCAAGCUGCAGAAGUCUAUUUACGGUUUGAAGCAGGCACCCCGUUGCUGGAAUGGAAAGCUAUCAGCAGAGUUCGCCAAGCUGGGUCUUUAUCCUUCGAAGUCUGAUCCGGCGAUGUUUGUUAAGACGGACGAGCGUGGGGUUGUUAUUGCUUUGGUACACGUAGAUGACACUAUUGUUGCGUCGGAAGACCCGGAAAUGGUCCGGGCAAUUAAAGCCGCAAUUGCGAAGGUCUUCAAGGUGCGCGACCUUGGAGAAGCGAAGGUGUUUUUGGGCAUGGAAAUUAGGAGGGAGAAGUCGGGUGAGAUAGUGUUGUCGCAGCAUAGGUAUAUUGCGCAGCUGUUGGAGCGUCAUAGGAUGAUUGACGCCAAGCCGAGGUCUACCCCUUUGCCUCCGGGCUUUAGGUACACUCCUAAGGGGGACGGAGAGGAGCUGCUGGGCAAUCCCACAGAGUAUAGGGCUUUGGUGGGAGAAUUGAACUAUCUGGCGACGAACACGCGGCCUGACAUUUCAUAUGCAUUGAGCAUUUUGUCCCGGCAUAUGGCCGCACCUACGAAGACUGCCAUGAACUUGGCAACCGGCGUUCUACGUUACCUGGCGGGUACACGCGAACUAGGAUUGCGUUUUGGGGGUGUUGGCGACGUUGCUAUGUCCGGGUACAGUGAUUCGGACUGGGCAGGAGACCCAGUUACGCGGCGUUCUACGUCCGGUUACGUAUUCACUCUUAAUGGGGCUGCGAUUAGCUGGAGCAGCCAACUUCAACGUACUGUGGCGGCUUCGUCGGUGGAGGCUGAGUACCAAGCUACAGCGGCGGCUGUUCGUGAGGCUUUGUGGCUUCGCAAGCUGAUGGUUGAUUUGGGCUUGCCUGAGAGCGCGGUGAAAAUCCAGAUAGACUCCCAGGGGGCGCUUAGCUUGGGAAACAACCCGAUUACGUCUGCUCGGUCGAAGCACAUCGACGUGCAGCAUCACAUAGUGCGUGAGAGAGUGAAUAGCGGUGAGGUGCAGUUGGAAUACUGCCCUACGGAGUGGAUGGUUGCGGAUGUGCUCACGAAGGCUCUGGGCGAGGUGAAGUUCAAACGUUGCCGAGAUGCUAUGGGCCUUGUGUGAAGUGUGCAGAUGAACUUGGAACUCGUUGGGAUACGGCCCGAGGGGGCGUGUUGAGGAAACGGUCCUCUCCCAACUCGUGUGGUUAUCGACCAGGGGAUUUGACCCCGGGUCUGCACCUGACUAAUGGGGAAGACUUACCCCAGAACUUUAUGGGGCUACCGAUGCAUAUCCGGUAGCUAAGUGAUAGACAUUAGGGCACCGUCUGGACGGCGCAGUGAGAUCGCGGAAUGUACGUGCAGUUAGAUCGCGGAAUGUACGAGUUUUCCGCUAGCGCCGGUAUUUAGGGCGGUGACUGCGCCUAUUAGUUUAUCUCACAACGAUCGGUAUUCCUACCAGGAAUCUCCUCAAGUCCUGCCGAACGCUAACAAUACUCUUUACAUUACUUGUAACAGUUUAUCGUGUUUCAUAUCUUCGCUGCCGGCAAUUCUUCCGAGAUAACAAUCAGUGUUAGCCGUCACCGUCGCCAAUUCUUCAAUAUUCGCCAGCCCUAGGCAGCGACCCCUCACCAGGCAACCUAGUGUGCAAACCUCGUCGGCAUCGGACCCAUCAUCGGAAUCCCUGGCAUUAUGCCGCCGGGCACUUGACUCGUCAAAGCGGACGUUGGAGACCACGGCGAUGAUGCCGUCCUUGUACAUCACAUGAUACUGUCCUCCACUCCCGUAUCCGACAAGGAUCCCUCAGACACUUACUGUUGUAAGAUACAAACACAACCUGGCUCGGGAAUCCCAAUCCCUUGCCAGACCCACCGGGCCCAGGCUUGCUGAAAUAGAAGCAAAUCACCUCUUUGAGAGGAACGCCAGAACUGCUGCUGGCCGCGCCACGAUUCCCAAGACCAGAACCAGAGGCCCCAAACGAAAAACUGCCGACAGAUGCAAACGCUGCCGACUCGGUAGGCUUACCAGACCCACCGCUUGCCACCUCGAUAGCCAAAAGCUUGGAGGUGACGCUCGCCAUGUCCAAAUCGCCGUCAUGCACCAGCAGGGACGUCGUUACCACGUUGAAGUGGCUGGGUAGACCAACAAGCAAAGUGUGUGCCCGCUCAGAAUCGCUGAUAACGUGUCCUACUCCCGACUGUAAUUGCUUGCAGGCGUCCUGUGCCUUCUUCACGCUAGCUAUGUAAGCUACUAGCGUUAACCGGGGCUCAUAACCUGUUAAGAAUAUAAAGGCAAGGAGACUCAUAAGGGUUACAGUCUGUGGGUUAAUGGUGAACGGCAAGAAGACUUUAGGAGAUUCAAGUUAAGGAAUACCGAUCCAUCCUAAGAUGAGAUAGAAAGACAUGCACCACUCCUGUCUUAUGUACCGAUACCAACGGAAGUAUUGUACAGUCUUCCACCAUCCCUGGACCUGAGGACACGUCCGAGAUACGCAGCCGAGAGACCCGAGGCAAGGUCGAGGCACAGCCGAGGCAAGGUCGAGGCACAGCCGAGGCAAGGUCGAGGCACAGCCGAGGCAAGGUCGAGGCACAGCCGAGGCAAGGUCGAGGCACAGCCGAGGCAAGGUCGAGGCACAGCCGAGGCAAGGUCGAGGCACAGCCGAGGCAAGGUCGAGGCACGUCCGAGGCAUCCCCUAUCAAGGCGGAUUCAUCACCUAACUACCACCUAACUACGUCGGGAUAGGACCGCCCUUCAACACAAACGAAUUAGGUUCAGGAAUAUCAGCAGAGAAAGCAGCAUUAACGCGACCAGUGACAGUGCGACCAGGUUCGUUUCACAACCAUUCGCCAGGGCGUUAACGUUCUCUAACUGGAUAACGGGUCCCUGCAAUUUCCACAUCGGGCUGAUUGUUACCUUGCACGUUCGCACUGCUGGAUGGUCCAGCCCCAGCCGGCACCCCCUCGCCACCCAAGUGCGGCGAUCCCUCGCCGACGGUGCUGCCUGGUAUCACUUCACCAGCCCUAGGCAGCGAUCCCUUACCAGGCAAGCUAGUGCGAAAAUCCUCCUCCUCGUCAGCAUCGGACUCAUAAUCGGAGUCCCCGGCAGAACACCGCCGGCCGACGUUAGACGCAUUAAAGCGAACAUUAGAAAAUACGGCAAUAAUGCCGUCGUCGUACAGCACACGGUACUGUCCUCCGUUCCCGUAUCCGACAAGUAUUCCACGCCUGCUCACCGGAUCGAACUUGUCGCGUUUGACGUCAGGUACGUGGACGUAGGCGACGCACCCAAAAUCUCGAAGGUGACUGACGUUAGGACGGACGUUGAAGAAAGCUUCAUACGGUGUGACAGUUGACCCAGCAGUUGGCGACACAUUCCUGAGGUAAUUGGCUGUCGCCAACACUUCCGCCCUUAAUGACUUAGGUAGACCGGACUCGACAAGCAUAGCCCUGGUUUUGUCUAGGAGAGUGCAAUUCAAACAUUCCGCUGCUCCGUUCUGCUCAGGGGUGUAGCCUACCGUAGUUCCAUGUACAAUACCCCUGGACGCGAAAUAGCUCUUCAUGCGAGUAUUAAUGAACUGUUAAGAAUAUGAAGGAGGCAAGGAGACUUGUUGCGAUAUAAGUAUUAAAAUCGGUAGGUGAGUGGUAAACGGCAGGAAGACUUUAGGAGAUUCCUACUGAGGAAUACCGAUCCAUACAAAGAUGAGAUACUAAGACUUGCACAACUCGUGUCUUAUAUACCAUUACCAAUGGAAGUAUCGUACAGUCGUCCACCAUCCCUGGACCUGAGGACACGUCCGAGAUAUGCGGCCGAGAGACCCGAGGCAAGGUCGAGGCACAGCCGAGGCAAGGUCGAGGCACGUUCGAGGCAAGGUCGAGGCACGUCCGAGGCAUCGCCUAUCACGGCUGAUUCAUCGCCUAACUACCACCCAUCUACGUUGGGAUAGGACCGCCCUUCAACAUGAACUCCCCACCAUGAUCCGUACGCACCUCCUUAACCUGCCUGCCAGAAGCGUGCUCCAGUUCCGCUAUCAUUACCACCAUCUUCUGAUAGACCUCCUCCUUGGUCGCUGUAAACGCAACAGCUGAAAGACCGGUAUGGUCGUCAAGCAGAGUUGUCACGUAACACGAACCACUAGGGGAAGGUUCAGGCAUAGGUAGGGCUGGCACGGGUACUACAUUAGAAAAGAGUACUAUACUAGAAUAGGGAGACCCCCGAAUUAGUCGGGAGCGCGAGAUUAUGGCUAGCUACUGAGAUGUGGAGUUGAGGUCACAGUUAUUGGACCAGAUUCGUACGCUGGAUUGGUGGCGAUUGCCGAACCCUCCGUCUCUUCGGUUGUUCGGGUGAAUGGAUGAGGAGGGGUCCCUGAAGGCUGGAUCCGCCGCCUUGGACUUACAGUUCGUAUGGCGAAGUACAGUGUGGUAGUGGUGGAUGGUGCUAUAAGGUGAUAAAUCGUAGAACUGAUAAUGUCAUAAAGUGGCCCAGAAGCCUCUCACUCUGUAACAUUACACAUUACACUAGAAUAGUACUAUGCAUAGUACUACAUAGUAUGCAGGGCUCUAAACUGGCACUAGUUUACGAUGCUCGUACCGCGUUCGUACAUAGUAUAAUAAUAUAGUAAAAAUAGUACUAGAUAGCACUAGAUUUGGGUUUGGAUAGUGUCAAGUAUUAGUUGGACCAAGUCGAGAUCUGCAGUCAAGCUGUAUUUUGAAGGCUAUAGCCGCGUCUUCGAGCUGUGCUACAUAGUUUUGAUGAAUAAUGUCGAGGGAAUCCAGUAUAAAUAAUGACACGGUGAUGGUGCUUGAACAGCGGGCAGCGUCACUCAGCCAGCAACAGCAACAGAGUGGAACCAGCUCCGUGCCAGCAAGGCGGAUCAGCAGGUCCACUCCAAGCACCGGCGCGGCAUUGAUGGCCAGACCCCCCUCCCGGUGAUUCCCGCGACUCUCGCGGGGCAAGUCGUGGAGGACCUUUGGCAUGUACAGGAACAACAUGCCUAUUCACCUGAUCAAGAAGCCCGAGUUGCGGAACCUAUUCGGGCUGCUGGGCGUCACCCUGCCGAACCGGAAGCAGUUGAACUUCACUAGUAUGACGUCCGUGUGUUGUCUUGUGAACACUGGGUCUUCUAUCUGUGAUUAUGUCUUUAUGUGCCAUAACACGCCUUGAGACAUUUGGUCCACCCACCAGGCACUGAACUAACAAAAAGUGAUCUUGAUGACCGCAGCGAUCUGCUUUCUAAUGUCUAAGUAGCUAUUUAGAAAGAACAAAAGAAGAUCUUUCCAACGGUGUAAUUUUCAGGUACAACGGUUGGCUGUACACCCCCCUUCUACUGGGAGCGUGCACCUGCCUAGUAAUAGUAUCAUAGUAUUACAUUACUAUAUAUAGUACUAUUUCUUACCAUACUAUGAUAUUUGGGUUUUAAAUUAUAGUAUUUUUGCCAACCCUAGGCAUAGGUCCACACACAUCCAUGGUCUGGUCUGGAUUGACACUACUGCGAUUCGCGGUUUAAGGUCCUGGGUUCGAUUCCUGGGGAGACCCCGAAUUAGUCGGGAGCGCGAGAUUAUGGCUAGCUGCUGAGAUGUGGAGUUGAGGUCGCAGUUGAUGGACCAGAUUCGCACGCUGGAUUGGUGGCGAUUGCCGAACCCUCCGUCUCUUCGGUUGUUCGGGUGAAUGGAUGAGGAGGGGUCCUCGACGGCUGGACCCGCCGCCUUGGACUUACAGUUCGUAUGGCGAAGUAUAGUGUGGUAGUGGUGGAUGGUGCUAUAAGAUGAUAAAUCGUAGAACUGACAAUGUGAUAAAAGCGGCCCAGAAGCCUCCCACUCUGUAACAUUACAUUACAUCCAUGUGAACUAGUGCUAGUGGCUGGGCUGCCUUGUGCCCUGUCAGCAGAAAAUGACCUCGUGUCUGCUUUGCAAAAAUGCAGGUCUCACAAACACACAUGCUGGCUUUCUGAAAGCUGUGCUGGUCGACGUCAAAUCCCAUUACCAUAUUGUGGCGCAGCAACACCUCGAGGUUGCUGUAGCCCAGAUGUCCGUAACACCGAUGCCAAAGUGUUGCAUGCUCCGUCUUGGAAUCCACGGCGGUGCACGUUGUACCAUGUCCGUUGUCACAGUAGCUCGUAUUCUGCGUCCUCCUGAUGGUGCCUGUACUUCCACCUCGAUAGCAAAUGGGGUAGAGAUCACCGUCCCGUUCACCGGUCAACACUAAAUGAUUUUGCAAGUAUACCUUUACUUGACUGUCACCGAAGACUGCUCAAGCCCAAGCUCCAUGCACAUCGCACUAAACUGGAUUUGCCACGUGGAGUAGUUGUGGAGGUCCAGCGGCUCAUCAAGCUUAUCCUUGACCAUUGUCGAUAGGGGAUAGAAAUAACAACCAGGCAGGCGGCUGGCAGAGGUUAAGGCCUGACUUCUGCUCCCGGUCGACCCGGGUUCAAAUCCGCCUGCCGACCUCUCGGGUGUUUGAGAGGUGGUGAUAUGGGAGGUGGCCCCCCAUCUUGUGGACGGUGUAGGACGUGAUAAAAUCAACUCGCGAGCUGACCAGGAACUAAGUUGAGGCGCCGUCGAUCCGCUAGAUUUGGUUGGAUGCUGGUGGUGAGUUGCCAAACUCAAAGAGUACACUCUGAAGUCUGAUGGGGUGAAUGGCUUAGGGUGCCCCUCUAGCAGGGGAGAGCAGGGAAUUGCCUCGGGAAGGAGGCCACUGGUGAAUCUUAACCACCCUGUAACAACAUCAACAUCAACAUCCACAACCUAACUAAGUUGAUGCACCGUUGAUCCGCUAGAUUUGGUUGGAUGCUGGUGGUGAGUUGCCAAACUCAAAGAGUACACUCUGAAGUGGGAUGGGGUGAAUGGCUUAGGGUGCCCCUCUAGCAGGGGAGAGCAGGGAAUUGCCUCGGGAAGGAGGCCACUGGUGAAGAUUAACCACCCUGUAACAACAUCAACAACAUCAACAACCUGACGAUAGCUGUCGGCGCUACACGGGGCUCAUAACCUAUUGGAGAAUUGGUGAUGGUGACGGCUGACACUGAUUGUUAUUCCGAAAGAAUUGCCGGUGGCGAAGAUAUCAGGCACGAUUAAUUGUUACAAGUAAUGUAAAAAACUGUAAAUUGCGUUAGGCAGGACUUGAGGAGAUUCCUGGUAGGAAUACCGAUCGUUCUGAGAUAAACAAAUAAGCGCAGUCACCGCCCUUGUUACGUUAAGGCUUAUCACAACCAGUCAUGGUGGUGUCGAAAGACACCGGAUGCGAUUACAGCAGAGAAGGUGUAGCCAUCCAGUGUACGACCCGCACUAAUGUACGACGUCGCAAAAGGAAGAUCUUGAGAAUAGCUGAGUGAACCCCGUUGAAGAGAAACAUUGAGAGUUAUGUAACUGCUCUUGCACGUUACAUCAUUCCCCCCCUAAAUGGCUGGUCGUCCCGACAGCCAGCCAACCUUGGCUUCACCGCCACACGAGAGGAAAAAGCAGGGCUUCCGGAACCCCACUGGUGACAGACAAGUGGUUGAGAAAAGCAUUAAAGCGCGAAGGCUUUUUGAUCACACGGCCGUGACGAGUAGUCUGAGGAGCUCGAUGCGGCUUCGAGCCAGAAGCGUCAGCGUCACCCGAAAGUGUCGCCUGACCUUGGGACUUCGAGGUUGGAACUGAGUCAGAUUGACGUGCCCAAUAGUCGCGCAACAAAUCGCCGCAGUUAGUUAGGUUCGUUUCGGGUUCCCACGAAUCAAAUUCCGGGCCCUGACCUUUCCAACGCAUUAAGUAGAAACGCUUUUGUCGACGUCCUUCUUUCACUUCUUUAUGAAGUAGAAUGGACUCAACUUCGAACUCCAAUUCACCCUCAACAAUCUGAGGUGGCGGAGGUAGCUGAACGCGACCACCAUCUUGAUACGGACGAAGGAGUGACACAUGAAAUACAUCAUGUAUCCGCACCGCAGGAGGAAGAUCCAACCGAUACGCAACCGCGUUGAUCUUUUCCUUAACCACAAAGGGUCCGAUAAAGCGAGGCAGCAAUUUGCGCACACCUUUAAUAGUCAUGUGUUUCGUACUCAAGAGUACACGAUCACCAACAGAAAGUCCUCGUUCCGAGCGACCUUUGUCAGCCCAUUUCUUCAUCCGAUCUCGAGCAGCAGCCAAGCAAGACUUAGCUCGUUCCAAAGCAUUCUGCAUAUCCGUACUGAAUUUAACAGAUAACGGAUUAGACAGUUUGGCCACGCUUUGCAAGCGCGUCUUGGCCCUCUCCUCCCCCAAUUUGCGAACCAGGUGAGAAGCCGGAGUUAGGGGUUCAUAUCCGUACAUCAACCGAAAAGGAGUAGUUCGCGUAGAUUCAUGCAACGAAUUGUUCAUGGCGAACUCAGCCAUCGGCAGAUAACGGGACCAUGAGGAUUGAUCGCCAGAAACGAAAUGACGCAACAUAUCCUCCAGAACACGAUUUGCACGUUCUGUUUGGCCAUCCGUUUGAGGAUGAUAACCAGAACUGCGACGCAAGUCGAUUUGAUAUCCAUCAAAAAGCGACUCGAAAAAGGCAGAGGUAAACUUAGGAUCCCUGUCGCAAAUGACGACAGACGGAACACCGUACGAACACACAAUGGUGUUGACGAAGAUUUCAGCCGCUUUGACAGAGUCAACAGAGGCCUUACAGGGCACAAACCGAACCAUCUUGGUGAGUUUGUCCACAAACACAUAGAUCGAAGUAUUGCCAUCAGGAUCGGGAGGCAGAUCAGUAAUAAAAUCCAUGGUCACGAAAGACCACUUCUGAUCAGGAAUCGGCAGCGGAAGAAGCAAACCACCAGGGAGACUGGUAUCUGCCUUUACCCUCUGACAGCUGUCACACGUACGACAGUACGCUGCGACGGAUUGACGCAGCCUAGGCCACCAAAACGAACGACGCACCAAAUCAAGAGUUUUGGUUACGCCCGUAUGGCCUGCCAACGGAUGGUCAUGACAAAGACGCAGAACGGUAGUACGCAAAUCAGCAUGAUCUGGCACAACCAAAGCAUCUCCUCGAUACCAGAAUUGACCACGUUGCGAUAAUGCAACCGUGUUUUCUGAUAUUUUAAACCAAGGAUCGAUACCAUACCCAUCAAGUACCGAUGACUCGAACAUAGGAAAAGAGCACUGAAGCUCUACGGUGGUGUCACGGAAGGCAGAAAUUUCUCCCAACCGUUGAGCACUAAUCGUCAUAACCUUCGUCGUUUCAACAUCGACGUGUCCCGGAAGCCGAGACAACGGAUCUGCAGGAUUGCAACGACCCGCGCGAUACUGCCAUUCGAAAUCGAAAGACUCCAGAAAUUCCGACCACCGCGCCACACGUCGAGACAACAGAGACUUACGGCGCAUGGCGGUGUUAGGUUCGUGAUCUGUAACGACCGUAAACUUUACACCUUCGAGGUAACAACGCCACAAUUUGAGCGCAUGCACAACGGCCAAGAGCUCUUUUUCAGUGACGAUGUAGUUCAACUCAGCAGGAAUCAGUUUACGGCUCUCAAAAGCCACUGGCCUUCCAUGCUGGAGCAAAAUUGCACCCAAUGCGAAGUCGCUAGCAUCCGCGAUCACCUCGAAAGGUUCACGAGGAUCCGGCAAAGCAAGCACUGGCGCCCGAGUGAGCGCUUCCUUAACACGAAGGAAAGCCUCGUCGCAUUUCUCCGACCAAAACCACUUAGUCUUAGGAGAAAGCAAGUCCGUUAGCGGUUUAACCAAAGCCGCAUACGCACGAAUAAAUUUCCUGAAGUAAUUAGCAAGACCCAGGAAGGAUCGAAGCUCCGAAACAUUCUUGGGCACAGGCCACUGUUGGACAACAGCAGUCUUCCGAGGAUCGGGCCGUACACCGUCGGCCGAUACGAUAUGCCCCAAAAACGAAACGGACGGUUUGAAGAACUCGCACUUGGACAGCUUACAGUAGAACUGACGCUGUUCGAGACGUUCAAGCACUGCACGCAGAUGCUCAACGUGUUCAUCGGCGGUCUUCGAGAAGAUCAGAAUAUCGUCCAGAUACACUACCACGAACGGCAAACCCUGCAAGGCUUGAUUCAUGGCAGACUGGAAGACAGCAGGAGCAUUAGUCAGGCCAAAAGGCAUAACUUUAUACUGAUAAUGCCCGAAAGGAGUGCGAAACGCGGUACGCUCCACAUCGCUAGGAUUUAACCGUAACUGGUGAUAACCCUGCGUUAAAUCGAGUGAGCUGAAAACUGUCGCACCUCGCAAACGAUCCAACAAAUCAUCUAUCCGAGGCAACGGAAAACGAUUUUUGAUCGUGAGGCUGUUGACUGCGCGAUAGUCAACACACAUACGUAAAGUGCCAUCCUUCUUCUUAACGAACAUAGAGGGUAGGACAAACUGUCGGGCAGAGCAAUUCUUUUGACUGCCCCGGUCGCACAAUUCCCGUGCUUCCCUAAUUCGACACCCUGAACACGCUAAUUCUGACUGUCCGAAUGUCCCUGCCAGGCCAAUUCGGCACCCUGUCAGCCUAAUUCUGACUGUCGGAAUGUCCCGCCAGGCUAAUUCGUAUCCCUGUCAGGCUAAUUCUGACUGUCGGAAUGUCCCUGCCAGGCCAAUUCUUAUCCCUGUCAGGCCAAUUCAAGGGCCUGUCCCGGCAAUUCAACUUGUCCCAGGUGUCAAUUUAAACCCUUCUACCGAGCAAUCUAGACCAAUUGCAGGGUCUGCCCCCAAACUCUCAGGCACGCAUUCAGAAUCGCGGAAGUUGAAGGAACUUUACGAAACAAGGGGAGCACUUACAAAUAUCUCUCGUAUGUUUGUUGGUUUCAAAUCCGUACAUGCUUGUACGGNNNNNNNNNNNNNNNNNNNNNNNNNNNNNNNNNNNNNNNNNNNNNNNNNNCCUUGUUACCGUACUCCGUACUCAUUCACCCAUACAUUCAUUGUGUGUGUAUGUGUGAAAAGUUACCAUCACCCGAACCGACCAAAACCAAAGGUGUGUCUGCAUGGCAAGUCGCUCACAAUUUUAACACCCGGUCUAUUCAUUCAUUCAUUCCUUCGUUCAGACAAGCAGACAUAUCCACACGCCUCGUCUUGAACUGUGCUUCAGUCCUGCUAAGGGCCCCCGGCACUCGACCAGACUACAUGUGUUCAAAAAGAUACCACCACCCGAACCGAACCAAACCAGGGGCAUGUUAACCACACCUUUCAUUCGUCCAUUCAUUCAUACAUCCAAUCAUUCACGCAGACAAAGAAAUGUAAGCACACGCGCCUGCCCUGCAGUAGUGUGGCCCGGCACAAAGUAGCUGUAGUAGCUGGUACACAGUAAGCCAGGGUACCCAGUCGACCCGGGUUCAAAUCCGCCUGCCGGCUCCUCGGGUGUUUGAGGAGUGAUGAAAUGGGAGGUGGCCCCCCAUCUUAUGGACGGUGUAGGACGUGAUAAUAUCAACUUGCGAGCUGACCAGGAACUAAGUUGAUGCGCCGUUGAUCCGCUAGAUUUGGUUGGAUGCUGGUGGUGAGUUGCCGAACCCAACGAAUACAUUCUGAAGUCGGAUGGGGUGACGGAUUAGGGUGCCCCUCUAGCAGGGGAGAGCAGGGACUGCCCCGGGAAAGGGGGCCGCUGGCGAAGUUGACCACCCUGUAACAACAUACAGUAAGCACAGUAAGCUGGUACACACAUAGCACGACCACCAGCAUCUCGAGAGGCCUUUUCAGCCGCCAGCUACUAAAUAAUGCAUGAACGUCACAUAGAGGAAGGUAGCAUAAUACGAGCCGUCAACGAUAGGACCAUCACCGCCAACCGGACUGUGUGAACCUGUCUCCAGUGCGUCACGCAGCACACUGACUGCCUUGACGCUUCCAGUUGAGGGAUCCAUGUCGAGGUCGGCCAACCUGUCUGUCAGUGAAUGGCGGUAAGUCAGCCACAAACCAGUCUGUACCUAAUUCCAGGUUGGAUAGAGCCUACUUGAGAGUGGCGCGCUGGUUCUGUUUGUCCUUGUAGUUGAGAUCCUG
This 23289-nucleotide long non-coding RNA is filed under the name Volvox carteri. Its description in RNAcentral is "long non-coding RNA (VCAR_LNC000987)". The record is from RNAcentral. Lineage: Eukaryota; Viridiplantae; Chlorophyta; Chlorophyceae; Chlamydomonadales; Volvocaceae.